CUCUGGGGAGAGAAAGGUGAUUGCUUAAGAGGUGAAGCCCCUUAGAGCAUUCAAAAUGAGGAGUGAUUUUGUACAGAGGACAUCAUGCAGCAGGCUGGAUGUCUAGUUCCAAUUCCUUUAUUUGUUACCUCUGGGACCUUGAAGAAGUAGUUUCUAGUCUCGGCAUACCAAAGCUUCAUCUGCAAGUGAGAGCAUUGGACUGAUGAUCUUCAAGGUCCUUCCUCCUCUAACAUUCACUGAAUCUGCUAUUUUUGACAUAUUGAAUAAUCAGAAGCAGCCAAUUUUAGUAUCUUAUUAUAGCAAAAGUGGUAAAAAUAAUGAGCAUAUACUAUCAAUGUGCAUCUAUGUCUUCUUAUGUUUGAGUGAGGAUCCCGAUAUAUAAACCUUGGCUGAUAAUUUCUACUGAAAAAAAUCGCCUGGACCAGUUUCGAGGCAACUACCUCCAUAGCCGGGAUUAUAAGAAUCCAGAUGCCUUCAUAGGGGAAGAGGGUCCUCGUGAUUGGUCUAGGGAAUUCGGGAUCUGACAUUGCUGUUGAGCUCAGCCAUCUGGCUACACAGGUCAUUUUCAGUACCAGAAGUGGUUCCUGGGUCAUGAGUCGGGUCUGGGAUGAUGGCUAUCCUUGGGAUAUGAUGUAUGUUACCCGCUUUGCAUCCUUUCUCCGGAAUGUCCUUCCUUCAUUCGUCUCUGACUGGUUAUAUGUCCAGAAGAUGAACACGUGGUUUAAGCAUGAGAGCUAUGGCCUGAUGCCUUUAAAUGGUUCCCUGAGAAAAGAGCCUGUGUUCAAUGAUGAGCUCCCAUCCCGCAUCGUGUGUGGCACUCCGUCCAUCAAGCCCAGUGUGAAGGAGUUCACGGAAACCUCAGCUGUGUUUGAGGAUGGGACCGUGUUUGAGGCUAUCGACUCCGUCAUCUUUGCAACAGGCUAUGAUUAUUCCUACCCCGCCUUGAUGAGACCAUCAUGAAAAGCAGAAACAAUGAGGUUACCUUGUUUAAAGGCAUCUUCCCCCCACUAAGGGAGAAGCCAACCUUGGCUGUGAUUGGCUUGGUUCAGUCCCUUGGAGCUGCCAUCCCCAUAGCAGACCUGCAAGCCCGGUGGGCUGCUAAAGUAUUUGCAAACUCAUGUACCCUGCCAACCAUGAAUGAAAUGAUGGAUUACAUUGAUGAGAAAAUGGGGAAAAAAUUCAAGUGAUCCCCACCUGGCCCUGGAGGUGUACUUUGGCCCUUGCAGCCCAUACCAGUUUCGACUGAUGGGACCAGGGAAGUGGGAUGGGGCCAGAAAUGCCAUCCUGACCCAAUGGAAAUGGACAGUGAAGCCAACCAGGACAAGAGUUGUCAGUGAAGCUCAGCGACCCCAUCCCUUUUACAAUUUGCUUAAAAUGCUUUCAUUCCCAUUACUCCUUCUGGCUGUUACACUUACAUUUUAUUAAUGAGAAAGUCUUUGAGGUCUCAAAGUUCAGCGUACAAGUGUAAUCACAUAAUACAACACACAAUCACAACAUAGUUCCUCUCUCCUUUCCUGAAGAUAUGAAAAUCAGUCUUGGCCCAUUUGAAUUAAAGUAUAAGUAAAAUGGAAAA
This 1573-nucleotide small RNA is filed under the name Pongo abelii (Sumatran orangutan). Its description in RNAcentral is "processed transcript". The record is from RNAcentral. Lineage: Eukaryota; Metazoa; Chordata; Mammalia; Primates; Hominidae.